AACCACUCAUGUACUAAUACCAAAGCACAAACAUAAGUGUAGCUUCAAGUAAGCAUAUCUAUCCAAAGGAGGUGUAGUGUUGUGCUGCUCUUAAUAUUGCAUCAAGCAUAGUAGUGCAACGGGACUAUUUGGUUCAACAUGGUUAUAGUAGCUGAAACUUAGCGGUUUAGUUAACCACUUUGAGCACUAACUGAAGUAGGGAGCAUAUCUAUAGUAGAUCAUCAGUUGAGGAGUAUAAUCCUAAUUAACCACACACAAAAGCAUCUAGCUACCCCCAAAUGAUUUACUGUGCAAGCAAGCACCACAUAAACCGUAGUAACAUGUCCAGCAAGGAUACAAAACACAGGAUAGGAGCAAUUCUUGUACAUAGAAAGUGAACAACCCUAGCAUGACAUACAUAACUUUGGGCUCGGUGGUGAGGAACAUACCUCAACAUUGCGGUUUUGUAGCCGAUGCUAUCAUCCACUGUCGUCACACGGUAAAGGUCACCUGAAGAAGCGCACGUUCCUUUGCAAACUCUGCUAUGGCAAAGCAAUAGUCAGUUAUGCAGGCAGGCGUGAGUAAGAAACCAAUUGACAAUGUGAUUAUUCAUAUAAAUUCAUUGACCAAAAUAACAAAUCUCAAAGAAGUUGGUCAUUAAUUAAUUUUUAAUAAGAAGUUGUAAAUUCAUUCAUUCUCUCCUUGAUCUAGAGGAAGGUUGAUUCAUUGGUAAAAUUUAGUAAGGAAAGAAAGUGUAUUCCUUCCAGUGGUAAGCAGCGUAUCCAUCCAUCCAUACGUACAUCUCCCUAGUUGCACAUGCAUAUAAACUGAACCCCCAAAAAAGAACUAAUUUGGCACGCACCAGAUGCUGAGACAAAGAAAAGAGGAAGAAGGAAUCAUCAACCAAUCGCCUGAUGCAUCCAUAUUUCUUGGGGAGGGCAUCCCAAACUGCACACACGCACACACGCAUCAGAUGCUCGGACCGGGAAGAAAAAAUGAAGCAACUAGACGGUAGGAGAGAGAGAGUGAGAGAGAGAGAGAGGAGAGGGGAGUGUACCUUCCAUGGCGUGAGCUCCUCUCCUCUCCUUAACCACUGGUGGUGAAGAAGAAGAAGCAAACCUAGAGCGAGCUUCCUUUCUUGUGGCAGCCCGGCUGCUGCAACUCCUGUCUACCUACCUAUCUACAGGAAGAGAUGAGACGGGGUCAGAGGGAGAACGAACAGGAGAAGGAGGAGGGACGCGAUUCCUACCAUACCACCGUCAGAGGAGAGAGGGGGCGAGUAGCAGAUCCACCGUCGGCACGUGCCUGUGCUCGGUCUCCAUGGCGUGGCGGAUCUGGCCAGCGCUGGCGUCCAUGACGAGGCCGUCCACCGGCGACCCUGGCGCUAGGGUUAGCCGGGGCUGCGCGGAGAGGAGCGACAAGUCGGAUCGACGCGGUGGAGAAGGAGCCGUGUCGCGAGAUUAAUCUCGCCCAUGGCCUACUGCUGCGCCGUCUUGCCCUGCUGCUGCUCCUCCCCGCUGCCGCCGCCGUCGUGCUCCUCGUCCUCCCUCCGCUGCUGCUCAUCGCGGUUUGAGGAGGUGGGUGGCGGCGGCGGCGAUGUGGGUGGGAGGAGAGGAGGCGCGUGGGAGGGAGGGAGGGAGGCGGCUGCGGGAGGGAGGGAGAGAGGAGGAGGCGGCUAGCACUAAUAGAAAAAUGGGCAAAUCUGAGACACAUUAGUGCCGGUUUGAUUUUGAGCCGGCACUAAUGUGUCCAUUAGUGCCGGUUCCAACGGCUAGCCGGCCGCUCUCAUUAGUACCGGUUCGUGGCGAACCUUUAGCACCGGUUCAUGCAACGAACCGGUACUAAAGAGAGUGGUGGCAGGAUGUUGUCAGUUUGGGGCCCGUCCAGCACCUUUAGUACCGGUUCGUGGCACGAACAGGUACUAAAGAUCGACGUACAUAAACCCUUCGUCCACCUAAGCCACUCUGUUCUUCCCCUUUCCCCUCACUUCCUCUAUUCUUCCCCUCUCUUCCUCGAGCUCCUCACAAACUUUGCCCAAAAUUUGUCAAGAUUUGAAGGCCCCCAUCCAUUCAAAUGAUCACAAAGGUUAGCAACUUUGUCCUUUCAACUCUCAUUGCUAGAUUAGCUCUUGCAAUGCUUUGUAUAGUGAUUAAUUUGGGAGGAAUUAUAUUUGCUAUUAUUUGAUUUAUAUGCAAUUUGAGGUCAAAAAUAACACUUAGUUUGCAUAUGUAGGUGUGGUUUACUUAGUGCCUUCUAAAUCUCCGUCAUAACCACCAUCGAUCGCCCGCACCGUCCCGUCGCCGGCACCACCUUGUGGUGAGGCUCUUGUUCAUGAAUGUUUUACAUUACCAAAUUGAUGUUUGUGUGAUUUGGAUAUAUAGUUACUCGUAUAAUUGUCUUACCCGUAUGUUGUUUGUUAUACAUAGUGCCAUGGUUUUGAUAUCCGUCCCUGUCGGCCCUCGUCCUUGUUAUGAUUCGGAUGUGGUAUAUUCUCUUUUAAAACUAGUUGUUGCAUUUUGUGUUUAUGACAAAUUAUGCCCAUCAAGUUGACAUAGAUAUUUUUAUCUAGGAGGUAUGUGAACCGGAAAUUCCAACCGACCCUAUUGUCGAGAGGUUAAAUUUAGUUGAAAGAGAAAAUGAGUAUUUGAAAGAAAAAUUAAAAAGAAUUGAGGGGGAGAAGAUGGAAUUGGAGUUGCAUGUUGCCGAUGUCGUCGAUGAUCACAAGAUCAAGAUGGAGAAAAUGAGGUUGAAGAUUAGAAAGAUUAGAAAAUAUGCCAUUGAUAGUGUGGCUUGGUAUCAUUAUGCUGUUGGAUCAAUUGUUACCUUAGUUGCGAUCUUGAUCGCAUUUAUUGUUGCAUUUAAAUUCUUUAGCUAGAGAGUUAUUUUUAUGUUGCAUUUAAUUAAGUGUUGUAUAUGAACUUUAUGUACGAACUUGUAUUAAUUUGGUCUAUUCGGUGUUUUGUAUAAUAAAGAUAUGAGCCGACAAUGGAUGUAGGAUGACCGAUGCUCUCUCGGGUUCAUUAAUGGCGUGCAUACUUUUCUGCUUGCCACUGAGGCAAACAAGCGGGCGGAUGGUUAUGCCUCGUCCAUGUGCUGGCUGUAAGAAUGGUCACAAUUACUCUACGUCAAGAACCAUUCACGUCCACCUAUCUGAGUCCAGUUUCAUGCCCCACUAUAAUGUUUGGACCAAGCACGGAGAAAGAGGGGUUAUGAUGGAAGACAAUGAAGAAGAAGAGGACGACGACAUCUAUCCUGGCCAUGGGUUCCCUGAAUACGAUGAUACAACAAUGGAGGAAGAAGCUGAGCCGGCAAUGCGGGAACAAGCUGAAGAAGAGGCAUCAGAUGAGCCCGCUGAUGAUCUAGGUCGGGCCAUUGCCGAUGCAAAGAGAAACUGCGCAAGUGAUUUGGAGAGGAAGAAGUUGCAGCGCAUGUUAGAGGAUCACAAGAAAUUGUUGUACCUGAAUUGCGAAGCUGACAAAAAAAAGUUAGGCACCACACUGGAAUUGCUGCAAUGGAAGGCAGAGAAUGGUGUAUCUGACAAGGGAUUUGGAAAGUUGCUGGUAAUGAUAAAGAAUAUGCUUCCAAAGGACAACGAAUUGCCCGAGAGUAGGUAUGAAGCAAAGAAGGCUGUCUGCCCUCUAGGGUUAGAGGUGCAGAAGAUACAUGCAUGCCCUAAUGAUAGCAUCCUCUACCGCGGUGCGUACGAGGAUUUGAACGCUUGCCCGGUAUGUGGUGCAUUGCAUUAUAAGAUCAGUCACGAUGACUGUCGGUGUCAAAACCGGCGGAUCUCGGGUAGGGGGUCCCGAACUGUACGUCUAGGUGGAUGGUAACAGGAGACAAGGGACACGAUGUUUUUACCCAGGUUCGGGCCCUCUCGAUGGAGGUAAAACCCUACUCCUGCUUGAUUAAUAUUGAUGAUAUGGGUAGUACAAGAGUGGAUCUACCAAGAGAUCAGAGAGGCUAAACCCUAGAAGCUAGCCUAUGGUAUGAUUGUUCUUCGUUCUACGGACUAAAACUCUCCGGUUUAUAUAGACACCGGAGAGGGCUAGGGUUACACAGAGUCGGUUACAAUGGGAGGAGAUCUUCAUAUCGUAUCGCCAAGCUUGCCUUCCACGCCAAGGAAAGUCCUAUCCAGACACGGGACGGAGUAUUCAAUCUUGUAUCUUCAUAGUCCGGGAGUCCAGCCAAAGGUCAUAGUCCAGCCAUCCGGACACCCCCUAAUCCAGGACUCCCUCAAUGACCCUGGUGAUGUCGAGGGCGAGCGCCCCAGGAAGAAGAUUCUUGCCAAGGUGAUGUGGUAUGCUCCUAUAAUACCACGGUUGAAACGUUUGUUCCAAAACAAAGAGCAUGUGAAGGCGAUGCGGUGGCACAGAGAAGACCGUAAGAAAGACAGAAAGUUGAGAGUACCCGCUGAUGGUUCGCAGUGGAGAAAAAUUGAGAGAAAGUACAGGGAGGAGUUUGCAGGUGACCCAAGGAACGUAUGGUUUGGUCUGACAUUAAUCCUUUUGGGGAGCAGAGCAGCAACCAUAGCACGUGGCCUGUGACUCUAUGUUUGUAUAACCUUCCUCCUUGGUUGUGCAUGAAGCAGAAGUUCAUUAUGAUGCCAGUGCUCAUCCAAGGCCCUAAGCAACCCGGCAACGACAUUGAUGUGUACCUAAGGCCAUUAGUUGAAGAACUAUUACAGCUGUGGAAUGGAACAGGUGUACGUGCGUGGGAUGAGCACGGACAGGAAGAAUUUGACCUAAAGGCAUUGCUGUUCGUGACCAUCAAUGAUUGGCCUGCUAUCAGUAACCUUUCAGGACAGACAAACAAGGGAUACCGCGGAUGCACGCACUGUUUGGAUGAUACUGACAGUAUAUAUUUGAGGAGUUGUAGGAAGAAUGUGUACCUGGGACAUCGUCAAUUUAUUCCGAGCAGGCAUCCCAUAAGAAAGAAAGGCAAGCAUUGGAAAGGUGAGGCGGAUCACCAGACGAAGCCUCGCCACCGUACUGGUGCUGAUGUACAUGAUAUGGUCAAGGAUUUGAAGGUAAUCUUUAGAAAGGGUCCUGGCGGACAACCUGUUCCGAAGGAUGCUGACAGACGCGUGCCCAUGUGGAAGAAGAAAUCUAUAUUUUGGGACCUGCCCUAUUGGAAAGACCUAGAGGUCCGCUCCACAAUCGACGUUAUGCACGUGACGAAGAAUCUUUGCCUGACCCUGCUUGGCUUCUUGGGCGUGUAUGGGAAGACAAAAGAUACACCAGAGGCACAGGAGGACAAGCAACGUAUGCACGGAAAAGACGGCAUACAUAAGGGUCAGGCCAGCUACGCUCUUAUGACGCAACUGCUUCUGGUUGCAUUGAGGGGGCUUCUACCGGAAAACGUUCGAUUAGCCAUUAUGAAGCUAUGUGCAUUCCUCAAUGCCAUCUCUCAGAAGGUAAUCGAUCUAGAAAUCAUACCAAGGUUACAGAAUGAUUUGGUGCAAUGUCUUGUCAGUUUUGAGUUGGUGUUCCCACCAUCCUUCUUCAACAUCAUGACACACGUCCUAAUUCACCUUUGCAAAGAGAUUAACGUUUUGGGUCCUGUAUUUCUACACAAUAUGUUCCCCUUUGAGAGGUUCAUGGGAGUCUUGAAGAAAUAUGUUCAUAACCGUGCUAGGCCAGAAGGAAGCAUCGCGAAGGGCCAUGAAAAUGAGGAGGUCAUUGAGUUUUGUAUUGACUUUAUUCCUGAUCUUAAGCCGAUUGGUGUUCCUGAAUCGCGGCAUAAGGGCAGACUGGAUGGAAAAGGCACGCUAGGAGGGGAUCAAAUAAUAUGUAUGGACGGGCAUUCUCUCACUGAAGCACACUACACAGUUCUACAGAAUUCCGCCUUGGUGGCUCCGUAUAUGGAGGAACACAAGAAUUUUCUACACUCCAAACACCCGGAGAAGUCUGAUGACUGGAUUACACGUGAACAAACGAGGACUUUCGCUGGUUGGUUGCAGAAACGUGCCAUGCACAAUGGCAAUAUUGAAGAUGACCUACACUCGCUGUCCCAGUUACCAUCUUCGAAUAUAAUGACUUUCAAAGGGUACCAGAUAAAUGGGAAUACAUUUUACACGAUCGCCCAAGAUAAGAAGAGCACCAACCAAAACAGUGGUGUCCGCUUUGAUGCAACAACCAACACGGGAAAGGAAACAUAUUAUGGUUACACAGAGGACAAAUGGGAACUUAACUAUGCAGGUGGUUUGAAGGUCCCUUUGUUUCGGUGCAAAUGGGUCAAUAUGACACGAGGCGAGGUAACGGAAGACCCGCAGUAUGGAAUGACAACAGUUGAUUUCAGCAAUCUUGCGUAUGCAGAAGAACAAUUCGUCCUAGCCAAUGAUGUGGUGCAGGUUUUUUAUGUGAAAGACAUGUCUAUCAGGCCGAGAAAAAGAAAAGAUAAGGAAGCGAAUGGAUCAUACGACGAGCCAAAGCGCCACAUAGUUCUUUCAGGGAAAAGAAACAUCGUGGGAGUGGAUGACAAGACAAACAUGUCAGAAGAUUAUGAAAAGUUUGAUGAAAUUGCUCCAUUCGCAGUGAAUAUUGACCUGAGUAUCCAGUUAAAUGAUGAAGAUUUUCCAUGGCUACGGUGCAAAGGGACACACGCGAAGAAAAAGUUUCACACCCAAAGAUCCAGGAUGUGAUCGGCUUCACUAUCAUCACUUUCUUCUGUGUUUCACACCCAGGAGGGAAUCUCUGUAAUAGUUAGGGUAGUUAUGUGUUUUCGCAUUUGAAACGCAAAGAAAUUUUAUGUGCAAACAAAUUCUUUCAUGCAUUUACUAUCUCUUUCGAACUAUCAGGGUUUCGGACGAAAACUCAUCUGUUACAAAGGCAUUUCAUUUUUUAAAUAACCUAAGCAUUACCAAAUUGAAUAUAAUGAUAAAAUACAAUAAUAUUAAUCAUAAGAAAAAAGAAUCACUGAAAAAUCAUUUUUCAAAGUUAAGUUAUUCACAAACUAGUGAUUCACACAAACUAUUCAAAUUUGAAAACUACCGGCACUAACAUAAAGUUUGUAAUUUUUUGUACCUAAAGCAAAAAUAUUCAGAAAGAAACUCUAAAUACAGCAAAAAAACAACUCAAAAAUAAAUAAAACAAAAAUAAAUAAAGCAAAUUUUUUUAAGAAAAUAAAAAAGCCCGCCUACUCGGCCAAAGCGACCUGCAUACGACUAGAAACACAACCUUUUGUUGGGNNNNNNNNNNNNNNNNNNNNNNNNNNNNNNNNNNNNNNNNNNNNNNNNNNNNNNNNNNNNNNNNNNNNNNNNNNNNNNNNNNNNNNNNNNNNNNNNNNNNNNNNNNNNNNNNNNNNNNNNNNNNNNNNNNNNNNNNNNNNNNNNNNNNNNNNNNNNNNNNNNNNNNNNNNNNNNNNNNNNNNNNNNNNNNNNNNNNNNNNNNNNNNNNNNNNNNNNNNNNNNNNNNNNNNNNNNNNNNNNNNNNNNNNNNNNNNNNNNNNNNNNNNNNNNNNNNNNNNNNNNNNNNNNNNNNNNNNNNNNNNNNNNNNNNNNNNNNNNNNNNNNNNNNNNNNNNNNNNNNNNNNNNNNNNNNNNNNNNNNNNNNNNNNNNNNNNNNNNNNNNNNNNNNNNNNNNNNNNNNNNNNNNNNNNNNNNNNNNNNNNNNNNNNNNNNNNNNNNNNNNNNNNNNNNNNNNNNNNNNNNNNNNNNNNNNNNNNNNNNNNNNNNNNNNNNNNNNNNNNNNNNNNNNNNNNNNNNNNNNNNNNNNNNNNNNNNNNNNNNNNNNNNNNNNNNNNNNNNNNNNNNNNNNNNNNNNNNNNNNNNNNNNNNNNNNNNNNNNNNNNNNNNNNNNNNNNNNNNNNNNNNNNNNNNNNNNNNNNNNNNNNNNNNNNNNNNNNNNNNNNNNNNNNNNNNNNNNNNNNNNNNNNNNNNNNNNNNNNNNNNNNNNNNNNNNNNNNNNNNNNNNNNNNNNNNNNNNNNNNNNNNNNNNNNNNNNNNNNNNNNNNNNNNNNNNNNNNNNNNNNNNNNNNNNNNNNNNNNNNNNNNNNNNNNNNNNNNNNNNNNNNNNNNNNNNNNNNNNNNNNNNNNNNNNNNNNNNNNNNNNNNNNNNNNNNNNNNNNNNNNNNNNNNNNNNNNNNNNNNNNNNNNNNNNNNNNNNNNNNNNNNNNNNNNNNNNNNNNNNNNNNNNNNNNNNNNNNNNNNNNNNNNNNNNNNNNNNNNNNNNNNNNNGUCGCCGGCCCGUCCCGUCGUCGCCGCCCCAUCCCGUCGCCCCGUCCCAUCGCCCCAUCGUCGCCGCCCCGUCGUCGCCUCGCCGGUGAGCUCGCCCCAGCCACCAUGUUCACAAACACACACACAUGUACACACUACACACACACAUUAUAGAAUUUUAGUUAUAGAAUUUUUUUUCUAUUUUUUAGUUAUAGAAAUGUUAGAAAUUAUUCUGUUUUGUACUUAUAGAAAUAUUUUUAGAAAUGUUAGUUAUAUAGAAAUGUUAUAAAUUUUUCCUGUUUUUUAGUUAUAGAAAUAUUAGAGAUGUUAUAAUUUUUUCUGUUUUUUAGUUAUAGAAUACUUAUAAAAAUGUUAGCAAUUUUUCUGUUUUAUAGUUAUAGAAAUAUUAGAAAUGUUAGUUAUAUAAUCAGAAAUGUUAGAAAAUUUAGAAUUAGUUUUAGUUAGAUGAAUUAGAUUAAUGUCAAAUUGUUAGAAUUUGCAUAUAGAAUGUUAGAUUAAUGUUACUUUUUGCGGGCAUAUAGUAUUUGUUCUCGACGAUAUGUCUGGCCCGCAUCCUCGCCGUCGACCUGUUCGUGACGAUGUCAUGCUUCAGAGGACCCAUGUCCGGGACUGGGCUCCGCCGGGCUGGCACUGGGAGGUGCUACCUGGAGGGGCGCGCCGCUUGGUGAGGAACCCGGCCUCGGGUCCCAUCGUCGACUCUGAUCUCCUUUGGUGGCGUUCGCGUGGGCCACAUUCGGUGCAGAGGCAGCCGGCCCCGCCGGAGGUGGUGCAUCGCCGUGUCAGGGAGGAAGACGAGCACGUCCAUCGCUACAUGGCUGCUAUGGACGACGUCAGGUUCUCCACUACUUGGUAGGUUCUUUGGGCAGAUGACCGGAGAUAUGAUCCUGUGAUGGUUCCUUCUCUUUGGGUGUCCACCGCCUGCGCCCCAGGAGCCGCGAGUGGCGCCCUAGAUUCUUCUGUAGUACUCGAUCUUUAUUAGGUACCUAGCCAGUGAUGUAUUCGAUAUAUAAUAUUUGAGACAAUGUAUUCAAGAUUAUAUAUAUUAUUCAUGCCGAUGGUGUAUAUUCGAGAUUAUAUAUUAAUGGAGAUGAUGCAUAUAUAUUAUGUACUAUAUGAUUCAGUUUUUCCUUAUUGAUUGCAUCCAUGCAUUGUAAUUUGAAUACUAAAUUGUUCUAUAUUUCUUCUGUAUUAGUUAAGUAAAAGCUAUGGCGGACAAUACCGGCAGAGACAGAGAAGAGGAAUUGUUCGACAUCAUAUGCAGCCCUGGCAGGCUAGAUGAUCUGAAUGAAGCAGAUGAUGGCUCUCAAUAUCUGAACAAUACCGGAGAGGGUGAUGAAAAGAUAUUCGAUCUCGACGACCAAGCUGAUGAAGUCAUGAACUAUGAUUCUGAUUAUGAUGACACAAACAAUGUUUAUGAUGACACAAAGAAUGCUGAUCUUCAAAUAACAAAGACUACCGGCGAGGUAUAUUUAUAUAAGCAGGCAUCUGGUGAUCAUCACAUGUUUUUUUUAUUUUAAGAUAUAUGAAUGAAUCGAUCUUCUUCUUUCAACCCUCUGGAUCGAGCAAAUCUGCUUCUACAGACAGCAGGACAAAGCAAGGCCCGAGCAGAUUGUUGAAGGACGGUGUAAAGUACAACAUCGAAUUCGUCAAACCUAGUGGCGAACCCUUGACGCCUAAGAACAUUGCAAACAAGUGGACUCGUCAGUGCGGAGUCUUGUGAAGGACAAACUCCCAAUCUCCAUUCAAGAAUGGAAAGAGCCAAAGACUAAACGUCCAUGUGUUACUUGGGUCGACGACAGAGCCAAACAAGACCUUUGGGAUUCUCUGAUGGAACAUUUCACCCUACCAGAUUAUUUCACUAAAGCAGAUGUGGACAAAGUGAAGAGCGCUGCUCUUAAGAAGACUGUAUGGGCCAACUACCUUGCUGCAAAAAGGAAGACUCCAGAAUUCACGGGAACACUGGAGAAGCAAAGAGAACACUGGGACGAUUUCGUGAAAUGCAAGGAUUCAGAAAUAUCUAAGGAACGGUCGAUAAAAAACAAGGCCAAAGCCGCAAAAAAGACGCAGUUCCAUAGGCUAGGUCCAGGUGGCUACGCGGUGGGAAUGCCUAAGUGGGAUAAGUCUGAGCAAGAGAUGGAGGGUGCAGGGGUCACUCCGAUUACUAGGAGCUGGCCCCCCAGGUGCAGAACUUGGUUCUAUGUGCAUGGGGGGGCGUUGGACCCGAAGACAGGCCUGGUUUCGAAGAAGGCAAGUCUAAAAGGAGCCGAACAAAAGAUACAUGACGCAAUAGAAGAAGCUCGAGCGGGGGUGUUCACGCCAAACAGAGAGAAUGACGAGCGUAUGCGCGCCCUGGGAAAUCCUGAACACCCGGGAAGAACACGAGGCAUGAGCGUUAUUCCCUGGUAUGAGGGCUUUUCGGACUGGAACGAUGACUACAGGUCCCGUGCAAGAAAGAAGAUGGAGGAGGAGAAGAAGAGGAAGCUGGUGGAGGAGCAGAGGAAGCAGGACGCAGAACGCCUUCAAGGCCUAGAAGCAAGGCAUGCGGACUUGGCACUCAAAUUCCAGCAGCAGCAACAUCAGAAGAUCGACUCACUUAGCUAGGAAAGGGGGUCUCAGCAGUGGUAGCAGCAAGCAGAUGAUCGUCCAUCAUUGGAUAGCACCGUCCCAUCCAUGCCGAGAAGCAGCAUUGGUUCUGCCCCGGGCGACACACUGCUGGAUACAUACCACUCUGUGGAUGACAUCAUAGAGAACACUAACUAUGAGCUACACUCCAAAAUGAAGAACAUAUCCAUGAAGGUGGCGGACAGCGUUGCUUUCACAAUUACCCCUGAAGCAACCUUCCAUUGCAUCCCGAUUCCAGAGGGCUAUGCUCGUGUCAUGGUUGAUGAAGUGGUGGAGCCAUAUUCGAUGCUAGUACUUGACAUUGCUGGAGGUGAAGGCGAGCGCACACUGGGAGAGGCCGUACAUCGUAUCAUCCUAUGGAGAAAGGAUUGCAUCAUCUUUCCAAGUCCACCGACACCGUGUCGUCUGAUGACUCCUCCUUGAAGUCCGCCACCGAGUUAGCAGACUCCCGCUCCUCCAAGUCCACAAACGCGUGAGCCGACUCCUCCUCGAAGUCCGCCACCUCCUCCAAGUCCCCGAACGCUUGAGCAGACUCCUCCUCCUUCAUAUCGGGCACAGCGUCAGGCCACUCCUCCUGCUUCAAGUCCGGCACAGCGUUAGCCACGUCAGCCGUCUCCGCCAUCUCAGCAAUCGCAGAAGAGACACGCCGCAGCUAUGGUGCAUAGCGGUACGAGUCGAGGUAGUACAGGAAGUACAGGCGGAGACAAGCAAUAUAAAUAUGGUCCAAGCCUCGCUCCUCUUCCUCAGAGGCCUUAUGACAUGACCGAGGAGCAAAACGCAGCCAUAGUGCAGGCCCAAGUGGACGCCCAUUUUGGACCGAAACCGGCACCGCCGCCAAAGGAGAAAGUGCCUGAGAAAACAAUUGACCACUUCAUUCGUAUGGCUAGAGCACCAGCUCCCAAGCCUAUUGACUCAGACUAUGAGCGUUGAAUCAGGAAGCUACAUCGAGCACGGCUACAGAAGGAAGCGAGCUCGAGCUUGAGCCAACAAGCAGCUGGCAAAAAAUGCGGGAAAACCGUUCCCCAGCUGGGAGAACAGGCGGCGCAAGCGAUCCCCCCGCUUGUUGUGCCAACAGCUCAUGAGAGGAGUACGCGCGCCAAAUAUUAUUGUGGGCAAACCGUUAGCGUUCCCCAGCAGGGCAAUGUGGUAAUAACGGAGGAGCAUAUAAUGCAGGCUGAAAUGCUCAAGAUCUCUGUUGGACAACUCCUUGAAAUCGAGCCCAUGUCUCCGCUUAGAGAAUCGGAAAUAAAAUGGAAAUAUGUUCGGGGCCAACCUUUGGUCCAUCCAGACAAGGUCAAGGACCUCCCAAUGAGAAUGUAUGAAUUGCAUCAAUGGUACAUGAACAUUACCAAGAUUUCCAAUCGAUAUUCCCUCAUGGUGAAUGUCAAGCAUGAGCAUUAUUACCAUGAGAAAGCUCUGGCCGUUGAGUAUCCAGAACUAUUUCAGUUAUACAAUCAAGACGCACUCUACAAGUCUAUCGUCAGUUGCUAUUGUUUGUAUGCGAUUUCUUUCUGUAAUUUAAGUCUCAAGCUAGUUAUGUAGUGAUAAUUUUGAUCAAUCAUUACAUGUAAUUAUCCUCACUAUAUUCUUUUAUGUGGUAUUAUAUGCAGGAUGAAGAUGUAUGAAAUGAAAAAAUCUGGACACUAUGGCAUUGGGUUCAUUGACCCAAAUACCAUUAAUGAGGACAUAUGGAAGCUUCCAUUUUAUCAAGCAGGUGUAGAGGAAAGCAUGCUAGAGUUCUUGAAGUGCCUCAAUGUUGGAAAUAUGCCCUAGAGGCAAUAAUAAAAGGAUUAUUCUUAUAUUUCCUUGUUCAUGAUAAUUGUCUUUUAUUCAUGCUAUAAUUGUAUUAUCCGAAAAUCGUAAUACACGUGUGAAUACAUAGACCAUAAUAUGUCCCUAGUGAGCCUCUAGUUGACUAGCCUGUUGAUCAACAGAUAGUCAUGGUUUCCUGACUAUGGACAUUGGAUGUCAUUGAUAACGGGAUCACAUCAUUAGGAGAAUGAUGUGAUGGACAAGACCCAAUCCUAAGCAUAGCACAAGAUCGUGUAGUUCGUUUGCUAGAGCUUUUCCAAUGUCAAGUAUCUUUUCCUUAGACCAUGAGAUCGUGUAACUCCCGGAUACCGUAGGAGUGCUUUGGGUGUACCAAAUGUCACAACGUAACUGGGUGACUAUAAUGGUAUCCUACGGGUAUCUCCAAAAGUGUCUGUUGGGUUGACACGGAUCGAGACUGGGAUUUGCCACUCCGUAUGAUGGAGAGGUAUCUCUGGGCCCACUCGGUAAUGCAUUAUCAUAAUGAGCUCAAAGUGACCAAGUGUCUGGUCACGGGAUCAUGCAUUACGGUAUGAGUAAAGUGACUUGCUGGUAACGAGAUUGAACGAGGUAUUGGGAUACCGACGAUCGAAUCUCGGGCAAGUAACAUACCGAUUGACAAAGGGAAUUGUAUACGGGGUUGCUUGAAUCCUCGACAUCAUGGUUCAUCCGAUGAGAUCAUCGAGGAGCAUGUGGGAGCCAACAUAGGUAUCCAGAUCCCGCUGUUGGUUAUUGACCGGAGAGUCGUCUUGGUCAUGUCUACGUGUCUCCCGAAACCGUAGGGUCUACACACUUAAGGUUCGGUGACGCUAGGGUUGUAGAGAUAUGAGUAUGCAGUACACCGAAAGUUGUUCGGAGUCCCGGAUGAGACCCCGGACGUCACGAGGAGUUCCGGAAUGGUCCGUCGGUAAAGAAUUAUAUAUGGGAAGUCGAGUUUCGGCCAUCGGCAAUGUUUCGGGGGUCACCGGUAUUGUACCGGGACCACCAGAAGGGUCCCGGGGGUCCACCGGGUGGGGCCACCCAUCCCGGAGGGCCCCAUGGGCUGAAGUGGGAGGGGAACCAGCCCCUGGUGGGCUGGUGCGCCCCCCUUGGGGCCCCCCUGCGCUUAGGGUUGGGAACCCUAGGGGAGGGGGCGCCUCCACUUGCCUUGGGGGGCAAGGCACCCCCCUUGGCCGCCGCCCCUUAGGAGAUCCCCUCUCCUAGGGCCGGCGCCCCCUUGGGACCCUAUAUAUAGAGAGGGGGAGGGAGGGCAGCAGCAGCCUUGCACUUGGCGCCUCCCUUCCCCCUUGCUACACCUCUCCCUCCCGCAGGCGCUUGGCGAAGCCCUGCCGGGAUCCCUGCUGCAUCCACCACCACGCCGUCGUGCUGCUGGAUCUUCAUCAACCUCUCCUUCCCCCUUGCUGGAUCAAGAAGGAGGAUACAUCACGCUGACCGUACGUGUGUUAAACGCGGGGGUGCCGUCCAUUCGGCGCUAGGAUCUCCAGUGAUUUGGAUCACGACGAGUACGACUCCCUCAACCCCGUUCUCUUGAACGCUUCCGCUCGAUCUACAAGGGUAUGUAGAUGCACUCCUCUCUCCCGUUGCUAGAUGAACUCAUAGAUUGAUCUUGGUGAAACCGUAGGAAAUUUUUUGUUUUCUGCAACGUUCCCCAACAGUGGCAUCAUGAGCUAGGUCUAUGCGUAGUUCUCUUUGCGCGAGUAGAACACAAAUUUGUUGUGGGCGUAGAUGUUGUCAACUUUCUUGCCACUACUAGUCUUAUUUUUCUUCAGUGGUAUUGUGGGAUGAAGCGGCCCGGACCGACCUUACACGUACGCUUACGUGAGACAGGUUCCACCGACUGACAUGCACUAGAUGCAUAAGGUUGCAGCGGGUGUCUGUCUCUCCCACUUUAGUUGGAGCGGAUUCGAUGAAAAGGGUCCUUAUGAAGGGUAAAUAGAAGUUGAUAAAUCACGUUGUGGCUUUUUCGUAGGUAAGAAAACGUUCUUGCUAGAACCCUAUUACAACCACGUAAAAGAUGCAACAACAAUUAGAGGACGUCUAACUUGGUUUUGCAGCAAUUGCUUUGUGAUGUGAUAUGGCCAAAAGUUGGGAUGAAUGAUGAAUGAUAUAUUGUGAUGUAUGAGAUUAUGUUCUUGUAAUAGGAAUCACGACUUGCAUGUCGAUGAGUAUGACAACCGGCAGGAGCCAUAGGAGUUGUCUUAAUUAUUGUAUGACCUGCGUGUCAAUGAUUUAACGCCAUGUAAUUACUUUACUUUAUUGCUAAACCGUUAGCUAUAGUAGUAGAAGUAAUAGUUGGCGAGCAACUUCAUGGAGGCACAAUGAUGGAGAUCGUGAUGAUGGAGAUCAUGGUGUCAUGUCGGUGAAGAAGAUGAUCAUGGAGCCCCGAAGAUGGAGAUCAAAGGAGCUAUAUGAUAUUGGCCAUAUCAUAUCACUAUUAUUUGAUUGCAUGUGAUGUUUAUCAUGUUUUUGCAUCUUGUUUACUUAGAACGACGGUAGUAAAUAAGAUGAUCCCUCAUAAUAAUUUCAAGAAAGUGUUCCCCCUAACAGUGCGCCGUUGCGACAGUUCGUUGUUUCGAAGCACCACGUGAUGAUCGGGUGUGAUAGAUUCUAACGUUCACAUACAACGGAUGUAAGACAGAUUUACACAUGAAAAACACUUAGGUUAACUUGACGAGCCUAGCAUGUACAGACAUGGCCUCGGAACACAAGAGACCGAAAGGUCGAACAUGAGUCGUAUGAAAGAUACGAUCAACAUGGAGAUGUUCACCGAUGAUGACUAGUCCGUCUCGCGUGAUGAUUGGACACGGCCUAGUUGAUUCGGAUCAUGUAACACUUAAAUGACUAGAGGGAUGUCUAAUCUGAGUGGGAGUUCAUUAAAUAAUUUGAUUAGAUGAACUUAAUUAUCAUGAACUUAGUCUAAAAUCUUUGCAAAAAUGUCUUGUAGAUCAAAUGGCCAACGCUCAUGUCAACAUGAACUUCAACGCGUUAUUAGAGAAAACCAAGCUGAAAGAUGAUGGCAGCAACUAUACGGACUGGGUCCGGAACCUGAGGAUCAUCCUCAUAGCUGCCAAGAAAGCAUAUGUCCUAGAAGGACCGCUAGGUGAAGCACCCAUCCCAGAGAACCAAGACGUUAUGAAUGCUUGGCAGUCACGUGCUGAUGAUUACUCCCUCGUUCAGUGCGGCAUGCUUUACAGCUUAGAACCGGGGCUCCAAAAGCGUUUUGAGCAACACGGAGCAUAUGAUAUGUUCGAGGAUCUAAAAAUGGUUUUCCAAGCUCACGCCCGGGUCGAGAGAUAUGAAGUCUCCGGCAAGUUCUAUAGUUGUAAGAUGGAGGAAAACAGUUCUGUCAGUGAGCAUAUACUCAAAAUGUCUAGGUUGCACUACCGCCUGUCCCAGCUGGACAUUAACCUCCCGGACGAGGCGGUCAUUGACAGAAUCCUUCAGUCACUCCCACCGAGCUACAAGAGCUUUGUGAUGAACUACAAUAUGCAGGGGAUGGUGAAAACUAUUCCUGAAAUAUUUUCAAUGCUAAAGUCAGCAGAGGUAGAAAUCAAAAAGGAACAUCAAGUGUUGAUGGUCAAUAAAACCACCAAGUUCAAGAAAGGCAAGGGUAAGAAGAACUUCAAGAAGGACGGCAAGGAUGUUGCCGCGCCCGGUAAGCCAGUUGCCGGGAAGAAGCCAAAGAAUGGACCCAAGCCUGAGACUGAGUGCUUUUAUUGCAAAGGGAAGGGUCACUGGAAGCGGAACUACCCCAAAUACUUAGCGGACAAGAAGGCCGGCAACACUAAAGGUAUAUGUGAUAUACAUGUAAUUGCUGUGUACCUUACGAGUGCUCGUAGUAGCUCCUGGGUAUUUGAUACCGGUGCCGUUGCUCAUAUUUGUAACUCAAAGUAGGAGCUGCGGAAUAAGCGGAGACUGGCGAAGGACGAGGUGACGAUGUGCGUCGAGAAUGGUUCCUAGGUUGAUGUGAUUGCCGUCGGCACGCUACCUCUACAUUUACCCACGGGAUUAGUUUUAAACCUCAAUAAUUGUUAUUUAGUGCCAGCUUUGAGCAUGAACAUUGUAUCUAGAUCUCAUUUAAUGCGAGAUGGCUACUCAUUUAAAAUCGAGAAUAAUGGUUGUUCUAUUUAUAUGAGAGAUAUGUUUUAUGGUCAUGCCCCGCUAGUCAAUGGUUUAUUCUUAGUGAAUCUCGAACGUAAUGAUACACAUAUUCAUAAUGUGAAUACCAAAAGAUGUAAGGUUGAUAACGAUAGUCCCACGUACUUGUGGCACUGCCGCCUUGGUCACAUUGGUGUCAAGCGUAUGAAGAAGCUCCAUGCUGAUGGGCUUUUAGAGUCUCUCGAUUAUGAAUCAUUUGACACAUGCGAACCAUGCCUCAUGGGCAAAAUGACCAAGACUCCUUUCUCCGGAACAAUGGAGCGAGCAACCAACUUAUUGGAAAUCAUACAUACUGAUGUGUGCAGUCCAAUGAGCGUCGAGGCUCGUGGAGGAUAUCAUUAUGUUCUCACUCUCACUGAUGACUUAAGUAGAUAUGGGUAUGUCUACUUGAUGAAACACAAGUGUGAGACCUUUGAAAAGUUCAAGGAAUUUUAGAAUGAGGUAGAGAAUCAACGUGACCGAAAGAUAAAGUUCUUACGAUCAGAUUGUGGAGGAGAAUAAUUAAGUCACGAAUUUGGUACGCACUUAGGAAAUGUGGAAUCGUUUCACAACUCAUGCCCCCUGGAACACCUCAUCGUAACAGUGUGUCCGAACGUCGUAAUCGCACUCUAUUGGAUAUGGUGCGAUCUAUGAUGUCUCUUACCGAUUUACCGCUAUCAUUUUGGGGAUACGCUCUAGAGACAGCUACAUUCACUUUAAAUAGGGCUCCUUCUAAAUCCGUUGAGACGACACCAUAUGAAUUAUGGUUCGGGAAGAAACCUAAGCUAUCGUUUCUAAAAGUUUGGGGAUGCGAUACUUAUGUCAAGAAACUUCAACCUGAAAAGCUCGAACCCAAGUCAAAAAAAUGCAUCUUCAUAGGAUACCCUAAGGAAACCAUUGGGUAUACCUUCGACCUUAGAUCCUAAGGCAAGAUCUUUGUUGCCAAGAACGGAUCCUUUCUGGAAAAAGAGUUUCUCUCAAAAGGAGUAAGUGGGAGGAAAGUAGAACUCGAUGAAGUACUACCUCUUGAACCGGAAAGUAGUGCAGCUCAGGAAAAUGUUCCUGUGGUGCCUACACCGACUGGAGAGGAAAUUAAUGAUGAUGAUCAAGGUACUUCGGAUCAAGUUGCUAUUGAACUUCGUAGGUCCACAAGGACACGUUCCACGCCGGAGUGGUAUGGCAACCCUGUCCUGGAAAUCAUGUUGUUAGACAACAGUGAACCUUCAAACUAUGAAGAAGCGAUGGCGGGCCCAGAUUCCAACAAAUGUCUUGAAGCCAUGCAAUCCGAGAUAGAAUCCAGGUAUGAAAACAAAGUAUGGACUUUGACAGACUUGCCCGAUGAUCGGCGAGCGAUAGAAAACAAAUGGAUCUUUAAGAAGAAGACUGACGCGGAUGGUAAUGUUACCAUCUAUAAAGCUCGACUUGUCGCUAAGGGUUAUCGGCAAGUUCAAGGGGUUCACUACGAUGAGACUUUCUCUCCCGUAGCAAAGCUGAAGUCCGUCCGAAUCAUGUUAGCAAUUGCCGCAUGCUAUGAUUAUGAGAUAUGGCAGAUGGACGUCAAAACGGCAUUCCUUAAUGGCUAUCUUAAGGAAGAACUAUAUAUGAUGCAGCCGGAAGGUUUUGUCGACCCUAAGAAUGCAAGCAAGGUAUGCAAGCUCCAGCGAUCCAUUUAUGGACUGGUGCAAGCAUCUCGGAGUUGGAACAUUCGCUUUGAUGGGAUGAUCAAAGCGUUUGGGUUUAUGCAGACUUAUGGAGAAGCCUGCGUUUACAAGAAAGUGAGUGGGAGCUCUGUAGCAUUUCUCAUAUUAUAUGUAGAUGACAUACUUCUGAUGGGAAAUGAUAUAGAACUUUUGGACAGCAUUAAGGCCUACUUGAAUAAGUGUUUUUCAAUGAAGGACCUUGGAGAAGCUGCUUACAUAUUAGGCAUCAAGAUCUAUAGGGAUAGAUCAAGACACCUCAUAGGUCUUUCACAAAGCACAUACCUUGAUAAGAUAUUGAAGAAGUUCAAUAUGGAUCAGUCCAAGAAAGGGUUCUUGCCUGUAUUGCAAGGUGUGAGAUUGAGCUCGGCUCAAUGCCCGACCACGGUAGAAGAUAAAGAAGAGAUGAGUGUCAUCCCCUAUGCCUCAGCCAUAGGAUCUAUUAUGUAUGCCAUGCUGUCUACCAGACCUAAUGUAAACCUUGCCGUAAGUUUGGUAGGAAGGUACCAAAGUAAUCCCGGCAAGGAACACUGGACAGCGGUCAAGAAUAUCCUGAAGUACCUGAAAAGGUCAAGGGACAUGUUUAUCGUCUAUGGAGGUGACGAAGAGCUCGUCGUAAAGGGUUACAUCGACGCUAGCUUCGACACAGAUCUGGAUGACUCUAAGUCACAAACCGGAUACGUGUAUAUGUUGAAUCGUGGAGCAGUAAGCUGGUGCAGUUGCAAGCAGAGCAUCGUGGCGGGAUCUACAUGUGAAGUGGAGUACAUGGCAGCCUCGGAGGCAACGCAUGAAGCAAUAUGGAUGAAGGAGUUCAUCACCAACCUAGGAGUCAUACCCAAUGCGUCGGGGCCGAUCACUCUCUUCUGUGACAACACUGGAGCUAUUGCCCUUGCCAAGGAGCCCAGGUUUCACAAGAAGACCAGGCACAUCAAGCGUCGUUUCAACUCCAUCCGUGAAAAUGUUCAAGAUGGAGAGAUAGAUAUUUGCAAAGUACAUACGGAUCUGAAUGUCGUAGAUCCGUUGACUAAACAUCUUCCACGAGCAAAACAUGAUCAACACCAGAACUCUAUGGGUGUUCGAUUCAUCACAAUGUAACUAGAUUAUUGACUCUAGUGCAAGUGGGAGACUGUUGGAAAUAUGCCCUAGAGGCAAUAAUAAAAGGAUUAUUAUUAUAUUUCCUUGUUCAUGAUAAUUGUCUUUUAUUCAUGCUAUAAUUGUAUUAUCCGGAAAUUGUAAUACACGUGUGAAUACAUAGACCAUAAUAUGUCCCUAGUGAGCCUCUAGUUGACUAGCCCGUUGAUCAACAAAUAGUCAUGGUUUCUUGACUAUGGACAUUGGAUGUCAUUGAUAACGGGAUCACAUCAUUAGCAGAAUGAUGUGAUGGACAAGACCCAAUCCUAAGCAUAGCACAAGAUCGUGUAGUUCGUUUGCUAGAGCUUUUCCAAUGUCAAGUAUCUUUUCCUUAGACCAUGAGAUCGUGUAACUCCCGGAUACCGUAAGAGUGCUUUGGGUGUACCAAACGUCACAACGUAACUGGGUGACUAUAAAGGUAUACUACGGGUAUCUCUGAAAGUGUCUUUUGGGUUGACACGGAUCAAGACUGGGAUUUGUCACUCCGUAUGACGGAGAGGUAUCUCUGGGCCCACUCGGUAAUGCAUCAUCAUAAUGAGCUCAAAGUGACCAAGUGUCUGGUCACGGGAUCAUGCAUUACGGUACAAGUAAAGUGACUUGCCGGUAACGAGAUUGAACGAGGUAUUGGGAUACCGACGAUCGAAUCUCGGGCAAGUAACAUACCGAUUGACAAAGGGAACUGUAUACGGGGUUGCUUGAAUCCUUGACAUCGUGGUUCAUCCGAUGAGAUCAUCGAGGAGCAUGUGGGAGCCAACAUGGGUAUCCAGAUCCCGCUGUUGGUUAUUGACCGGAGAGCCGUCUCGGUCAUGUCUACGUGUCUCCCGAACCCGUAGGGUCUACACACUUAAGGUUCGGUGAUGCUAGGGUUGUAUAGAUAGUAGUAUGCGGUAAACGAAAAGUUGUUAGGAGUCCCGGAUGAGAUCCCGGAUGUCACGAGGAGUUCUGGAAUGGUCCGGAGGUAAAGAAUUAUAUAUGGUAAGUCGAGUUUCGGCCAUCGGGAAAGUUUCGAGGGUCACCGGUAUUGUAUCGGGACCACUGGAAGGGUCCCGGGGGUCCACCGGGUGGGGCCACCCAUCCCGGAGGGCCCCAUGGGCUGAAGUGGGAGGGGAACCAGCCCCUGGCGGGCUGGUGCGCCCCCCUUUGGGCCCCCCCUGCGCCUAGGGUUGGGAACCCUAGGGGAGGGGGCACCUCCACUUGCCUUGGGGGGCAAGGCACCCCCCUUGGCCGCCACCCCCCUAGGAGAUCCCAUCUCCUAGGGCCGGCGCCCCCCUGGGGACCCUAUAUAUGGAGAGGGGAAGGGAGGGCAGCCGCACCCUUGGACUUGGCGCCUCCCUUCCCCCUUGCUACACCUCUCCCUCCCGCAGACGCUUGGCGAAGCCCUGCCGGGAUCCCUACUGCAUCCACCACCAUGCCGACAUGCUGCUAGAUCUUCAUCAACCUCUCCUUCCCCCUUGCUGGAUUAAGGAGGAGAAGUCACGCUGACCGUACGUGUGUUGAACGCGAAGGUGCCGUCCGUUCGGCGCUAGGAUCUCCGGUGAUUUGGAUCACGAUGAGUACGACUCCCUCAACCCCGUUCUCUUGAACGCUUCUGCUCGAUCUACAAGGGUAUGUAGAUGCACUCCUCUCUCUCGUUGCUAGAUGAACUCAUAGAUUGAUCUUUGAGAAACCGUAGGAAAUUUUUUGUUUUCUGCAACGUUCCCCAACACUCAAUACCAAUGAAGAUAUACUACCUCCUUACAACUUCCCGUGAGUCACACUGUCUUGUACUACAAAUUCUGUUUUUGCUUACUAGCUAGCUAGAUGUUAAUAAUUAAGUGUAUACGGUUUACGGUAGUUGAUUAAUUUUAUGCACAUACCCGCUUAAAUAAGACAUGCAAACGUGUGCGCAUGCAGUUGGCACUGGGUCUUGUUAGACAUUAAAUUUGAGGAAGGAAAAGUUGAAUUACUGGACUCACUAACUAAAGAAGAUACAGACUUCACCAUCGUGAGGGGGAUAGUCAACAGGUAAUUUCAAUCAUUAUUAACUAUAUCUCGACCUAUUAUUAGUUGUCAUUUCCUGACAUGAACAAUUUAAUAACCCCUUUAUCAAUUUUCUUUGCCGGUGGGCAGGGCAUGGGCAAAGUUCAUCAAGGUGACUCCAGGCAACUGGGCAAAAAAGUUGUUUUGGCAUCGACCAAAGGUAAGUAAUUAAGUAGUACUAGCUAGCUACCAUCUCUUUAAUUCUUGUUUCAAUAUCAUUAAUUAAUUAUCAUGCUUGAUUAAUCAUUAUAUGAUUCAAUUCCAUUCUCGUAAAGGCCCUGAAGUAGGCACCGGGGAUAAUCUGUGUGCAUUCUACGUUUGCGAGAACAUUCGCAUGAUGGCGUCCGAAAGGAGCAGAUCUGAUAGACAGGACUGGGUACGUUUGUCAAAACACUAUUCACACUAUUAUCAAUAUCUACUCACACAAUUAACACACAUGCAUAUUGAUCUCCUUCUUAACAGUUCAGAGAGGUGCGGGAUAAGCUCCUACCAUCGGACCGCAUACUAGCACUUCAAGAGAAAAUAGCCGGAUUUUUGCUCGACCAGGUCAUAGAUCCCAAAGGAGAAUACUAUUACCCGCUACCGCCCCCAUGAACCACUUGUCAUCGUGCUCCGGAGGCACAAGGCAACAUAUGUAGGAGAAAUUGUAUAUGUAUAUACAUGUGUAUGUGUGAAUAAUUAAUGGUGUUGGUUGUGAGACAUUCGACGAUAUAUAUAUACAUGUGUGGUUCUACGUACGAGAAAAUCUAUUUAUAUAUAUGCGUAACGUGUACAAUUUGUAGUAUCAUGAAAUACCAGCAAACAAAAAAAAUUGAAUGGAAAAUAAAGCCAAAGCCCCCCCCCAACAUUUAGUACCGGUUGGUGUUACCAACCGGUACUAAUGUCCUAUGCGCACACGGAUCUGGCUCGUGCCACGUGGUGUCACUUUAGCGCCGGUUCGUGACGAACCGGUACUAAAGGGGGGGGGGGCUUUAGUCCCCACUCCUUAGUGCCGGUUGGCAAACCGGCACUAAAGGCCGUUACAAACCGGCACUAAAGGCCAGUUCUGCACUAGUGUAGGUCUCCACCACAGGAGCGCCCCCCUUUUAUACCCCCACGACGCAAAAUGGCAGGAAUGCCCUGGUGGGGGCAUGGUAUUUACAUUCUAUUACCAUUGGAAUUUUAUCUGACAGCCCAGGACGAUCGGGUAAAUAUCAGACGGCCCACGGCGAUCUAGCCCUGAGAUUCGACGACCUGUAUCGCGACAAGAUUUUGAUCCGAUGGUCCACAAUCCAAACACACGGGGAGGCUUUUUUUUGCUUUGGACUCUAACGAUGGGACUAGGUAGGAAGUGCGGCUUGCAUAGCUGCCGGGUAUAGUCGUGUUCAAUCCGUUUAUACAACUACUGGAGCAUUUCAAGUAUAAAUAUUCGAACACAAAAAAGUUCAUAUAGAGAUGGUACUCCUACAAGGAAGAGCUGUCAUGACAUGCAGGUAAUAGACAUUGAAAAAACCGAUCAGGAGCAAGAGCCUAUGCACCAGCUCAGAACACAUAAAAAUGGCGAUAGAUGAUCACCAUAAUGGACAUGGGAGUGAUAGGACAGAGAGGCGUCAUCAACAUUUCAGGCAGACAGGGGGCAAAACUCUUCCAACACGGUCAUGUAUGCUCGCCUUUGAGCAACGUCAUACCCAUCUAUGCAUCCUGGAUAUUGGGGAUGAUAAAGCAAUUAGAUGUGACAUUCAAAAGCAUAUCCACAGGUGAUAUUGAAGUUUGGGUAGGAUGUGCGGCCUGCCGCACCCGAACUUCAUUCUGUCGUAUCCUACCCGGUAAAUAAAAUAAUAUGUUACACAUGAUUAAGGACACAAAUUUGGAACUGGAUGGAGGGUAACACAACCAAAUUAACUAUUUUUUUUCAAAAGUGAGGUGAAUUCUGAAAAGUUAGUUCAUUUAGUUGAACUAAGUAGGGUCCGAGGGUACCCCAGCGGUUCCAAAUGUGCAUCCCUACCCAUAAUGCAAAGGUCCAAAGCAUGAAGAUUCAUUACACGCCAUUGAUACAUUUUAUAUACAUGUGUACCAAUAGCAUGAUACCAAAAGUAUUGAGGUUCAGUACAACAGUAAAAUGACACCCAUAGUGUUGGUUUAGGAUAUUUUAUUUACAAUGUUUUUGCAGAACAUAGCAGUAAACUAUAUAGUAGACUAUAAGAUAGAUAUCUAUUUAGAGAUGCCUGCCAUCCGAUUUACUUGCGUGUUGUGAUAUUUGUUUCUAGAUUAUAGCUUGUCGUAUGAGCCAAUUAUGGUAGACCUAGAAAGCAUAGAGCAUAAAUAAAUUAGAUGACGAAAGAGUCCUCAUCAGCACAACACAGAAACUAAUCCAUAUAAUUAAAUAACCAGAGUCCAAUACAUUUUAAAGUUUGUUCAAGUAGAGUCCAAUGAUGUGAAACCUAUAUUUUUUCAGCCAAAAGAUAGCUCAACUAAGUUUGUAGCUUUCAAUAACCAAUGGCUACACCCAAUCAUUAUCAACAUCAUGUGACAUUUGUUUAUCCUCCUGAUUGAUUACUCAAGUAACUACUAUUUUAUAAGAAUUCUUUUUAUUUUAAAGGAUGAAACUACAUGGAAGGCAAAACAGAAAACAUGGAAUGCUUUUCCAAAGUAGCCAACUUCAUUUUAAAAUCUAAGUUGAUUAGUUAUCUACAUAUCACUCAAGGGAAAAGAUAUUAUUUUCCACAAGUAAAAGGGUGCCUACCACAGAAAGCACCAACUGUAGGUAAUGCACUUUCACUGCCACACACACACACACACACACACAGAGGUACCUAACCUAGAUGAAGUGGGAUCAGGCAGAACACAAUGAAGCAGCAAGGUCCCGCACCACUGUAAGCAUGACAAAUUCCAACAGCUUCUGAUCAGAAGAGAGAUGGGGUCAUGCCCCUUUUCCUCGAAAGACAACAAUAAAACAUCAACGUGAAUCACUGCAUGCAUAAGGAAUUCAUACAAUUUCUGCUCAGAACGAGAAAAGAUAGUGCACUCAAAAGAUUUCUGAUUAGAAGCAGGAAAGAUACUGACAUCCCCAUAUAUGAUAAUACUAUCAGAAUGUUUUAUACAAUGAAGAACAUACCAACUCCUAAUAAAUAUCUAGCACAUAUCCAAAUGAAACUCCAAAUGAAAUAUGUGAGUAUAUGAAAGAAAAUACAUUUACACUGAUAAGAAAGAAAAAGAAUAUCUGGGGAAAAAGCAAGACUACAGCAGGUUCAAAGAAAUAAGUAGGACGUGCUUCAAUACUUGGAUACCUUGUUUCUAUACCACGACAUCCAAAGAAUAAUAUUAAUUAAAUGACACUUCUGAAAAGAGCUGACAUUCUCGAAUGGUAUUUAUUUGCAUCAAGUUGAUACUUAUUGUGUUUUUUCAUUCUAUUAGAAUCUUGUAAAAAGAUCGCUCCAUAAGAAUAUCAAUAUCAGGCAAUCCUCACCAUAACACACAAAAAAAUGCCAGAGAAGAAAAGGGAUAAACUCUGAAUACAAACAUACGCCAAAAUGUGAAGUCACCCAUUGAAGUGGCACCAAAGAACCUACUUGCAGGAUGUGCCUAUACUUAUACAAUUUCAUCCCGAUCACAAGGAGAGGUUCACCAUGAUGAUGAAGAGAUAAGGGGCGAAGGAUAUUGUUUCUAUUAAACCUAGCAUGCACAUCUAAAUAUUGCAGGAGUCAUAGGUUGAAAACAAUAGAAAGCUAACUAAACUCAUUUGUACCCUCAUGCUUACACAAAUUGACAAAUAAUACCAUACUUCAAAGGCAUAGCGGCAGGCAACUGUAGCAACAUAGGGCUGCCUAUUUGUGAAGAGAAAAAUUGGUAGCAUAGCUUUACCAUCAACCAGUUGCACUUGUAAGGCACAAACAAAUAGAUCACGUUACAGUAGAUAAGAGGUGAGAAACAACCAAGUGCCAAAUUAAAACAAUGUAGUAGCUCUGUGCCAAAUCAAAUAAGCAAUUUCUUAGAAAAUAAAGUGAACUCAGCCAAGCCUAUUAAAGAAAUUAGAACUGCAGAUCAUAAAAUUUAAAUGUUGCCUGUGUAUUUCAUUCAGAUAGCAAAACACUGGGUGAGUAAUUUUGUGCUAGCAAAAUGACAUUAAUAGCAACUAUUUAAGGGAGACAUACCAAAUUCAAUCAGCAUUUAUUAUCAAUACACUAAAAAAGAGCAAGAACAUAAAACUAAGUUGGAGAAUGAGCUCACUGGCUAGAGGUUGUGCUUGUGAAAGAACUCCACACGCCAUGGUCACGACAUGGCCGCUGCAAUUGAGUAUAUGAAGUGGAUAGAUUCUGCGCCAGAAAGAAAUAUAGAUUUUUAGAAAUAUAGAUUUUCAAAUGAUCAACAUAUGCAUCAAGACACAUCCGACUUCAAUAGUUCUAGUCAUGGCAGUACUUUGUACGCAUGAUUCGAUGUUUCACAGCUCAAACCAAAUUAGCAAUUUCUUUGAUUCAGUAUGCGCGUGAUUUACUAAUGUUUCAGUAUUUCAGAGUGUGCCUCAUGCCUCUUACUUUAUGCCUGAAAGAGCAAUAGAGGCACGCGACGGGAAGACGACUUUAUGCGCUAAUGAUUUUCUUAUCAACUUGUUUUGCAGAUAAAUGCACAACUUUGCUUGAUGGUGUGGGACAGGGAAGGAGCAACGGCGGUGAUUUUCUUAUCAACUUGUUUUCACAACUAAUUCAGCAGCAACCAAUGUGAAAAGCUCUUUUUCUAUCUCCAGGUUUCACGAUAAAUGCUGUCUACAAAACCUACUACCCUUUUGUACAUAAAGAAUCAUUGCUAGACAAUAACGUUGUGAAAACUAUAUCUCAAUGCCACUCAUACUCAAAUUAUACUACGAACUCCAUCCUUGGAGCCCCUAAUUAACAAUCCAAGAAGCAACAUGUUNNNNNNNNNNNNNNNNNNNNNNNNNNNNNNNNNNNNNNNNNNNNNNNNNNNNNNNNNNNNNNNNNNNNNNNNNNNNNNNNNNNNNNNNNNNNNNNNNNNNNNNNNNNNNNNNNNNNNNNNNNNNNNNNNNNNNNGUACAAACCAUGGUGUUAGGCUCGAACGAGUGCUCCUCAUCAAGGAUGAGGGCCACAGUCCUCGUAGCAGUAGGGGUGGACGAACUCGGGUCUGCCCACCUUCUCUAUAUCCAUGUCCAGCUCCUCCAUCCCCUCCCUAUCUGCACCCGCCAUCAAGAUGAGAGAAACAAUGCAAGAUUUGGAGCCAUGGGCGUCUUGAUCAUUCAAAUAGAGCAAAAUCAAGCAUGUUCAAGUCUUAUGAAAUUGAGCAACCACUCAUGUACUAAUACCAAAGAACAAACAGAAGUGUAGCUUCAAGUACGAAUAUCUAUCCAAAGGAGGUGUAGUGUUGUGCUGCUUUUAAUAUUGCAUCAAGCAUAGUAGUGCAGCGGGACUAUUCGGUUCAACAUGGUUAUAGUAGCUGAAACUUAGUGGUUCAGUUAACCACUUUGAGCACUAACUGAAGUAGGGAGCAUAUCAAUAGUAG
This 27054-nucleotide long non-coding RNA is filed under the name Triticum aestivum (bread wheat). RNAcentral describes it as "long non-coding RNA (TAES_LNC012603)". The record is from RNAcentral. Lineage: Eukaryota; Viridiplantae; Streptophyta; Magnoliopsida; Poales; Poaceae.